RNAcentral lists this ribosomal RNA (253 nucleotides) under uncultured bacterium. RNAcentral describes it as "partial 16S ribosomal RNA". It matches the Rfam family "Bacterial small subunit ribosomal RNA", at positions 524 to 776 of the family's 1533-position model. The record is from RNAcentral.
UACGUAGGGGGCAAGCGUUGUUCGGAAUUACUGGGCGUAAAGAGUGUGUAGGCGGUGCUCUAAGUUCGGUGUGAAAUCUCCCGGCUUAACUGGGAGGGUGCGCCGGAAACUGGAGUGCUCGAGCGUGGGAGAGGAAAGCGGAAUUCCUGGUGUAGCGGUGAAAUGCGUAGAUAUCAGGAGGAACACCUGCGGUGUAGACGGCUUUCUGGACCAUUGCUGACGCUGAGACACGAAAGCGUGGGUAGCAAACAGG